CUACGGGUUGCAGCAGACGAGAAUAUUCGACAAUGGGCGAAAGCCUGAUCGAGCGACGCCGCGUGGAGGAUGAAGUGCUUCGGUAUGUAAACUCCUUUUGCCAGGGAAAAAGUUUAUUGAUUGUACCUGGAGAAUAAGACGUUGCUAAACUCGUGCCAGCAGCAGCGGUAAUACGAGUGCGUCGAGCGUUAUCCGGAAUCAUUGGGCGUAAAGGGUGUGUAGGUGGCGUUGUUAGUUUCCUGUAAAAUUCCUCGGCUCAACCGGGGGCGCGCGGGAAAUACGGCAAUGCUUGAGGUUGGUAGGGGUUUCUGGAACUCUAAGUGUAGCGGUGAAAUGCGUUGAUAUUUAGGGGAACACCAAAAGCGAAGGCAGGAAACUGGACCAAAUCUGACACUGAAACACGAAAGCGUGGGUAGCGAAUGGGAUUAGAUACCCCGGUAGUC
RNAcentral lists this ribosomal RNA (443 nucleotides) under uncultured bacterium. RNAcentral describes it as "partial 16S ribosomal RNA". It matches the Rfam family "Bacterial small subunit ribosomal RNA", at positions 339 to 795 of the family's 1533-position model. The record is from RNAcentral.